This 74-nucleotide transfer RNA is filed under the name Acidobacteriota bacterium. RNAcentral's name for it is "Acidobacteria bacterium (bioreactor metagenome) tRNA-Val". It matches the Rfam family "tRNA". From Rfam's summary of the family: Transfer RNA (tRNA) molecules are approximately 80 nucleotides in length. The record is from RNAcentral. Lineage: Bacteria; Pseudomonadati; Acidobacteriota.
GACCGGAUAGCUCAGUUGCGUAGAGUGUCGGCCCGACAUGCCGAAGGUCGCAGGUUCGAUUCCUGCUCCGGUCA